This 1037-nucleotide long non-coding RNA is filed under the name Equus asinus (donkey). Its description in RNAcentral is "lncRNA (ENSEASG00005037498.1)". The record is from RNAcentral. Lineage: Eukaryota; Metazoa; Chordata; Mammalia; Perissodactyla; Equidae.
AAAAACAGUGUCACUGCCUCUAUCGGGAAUUCUAAAGCUGGCACAACGGUAACCGUGGAUGGGGCUCGAAUUGCCUUCUUUAGGAAGUGAAGUUUCUUUAGGAACCACAGCAAAAACAAGACAACCUCAAAUGAGGCAUUUGGAAUUGGACUGGCUAAGCUAGAGAUGCCUCAGGACAAACUGGGAAGCCACCUGUGGAAGACGGCAGAGCCUCUCCCAGCUUGGGUUCCUGAAUGACUGGAUGAAAGGGGCUGUAAACCUGUCCAUCUACCCAGUGUUGUAUACCAGCCAUCCUUACUAGCAAUGGUUGACGUGUUCAUAAUCUCUCACUGGGUAUGUAGCUCCGCAGGGGCUUUGGUGUGCCUGUCAGCAAGAGGUGGAUCCUGCAGAGAACUCGAGAGAAGAAAGCUAAACAGCAAUUCACUUUAAUCUGUGCUUUGCAUUCAGAUGAAUAUGCAAAUCGGUUCAGUGAAGUGAACCUGGUUAGAACAUCACUCUGAAACUCGUGCUAAAUUAUUUGAAAUGGGCAGAAUACAGACCAGCUCAUGACUUUAAUUUCUCUUUUGUGGAUCAUGUGGUUUUAGUGUCAUUUUAAAGUGCUCCUGAUUAGUCCAUUCUAAGGACAUGCAUGAGGGAUAAAAAUAUUUGCUUCGUUAUGCAUAUUUUCUAUGAGGUAUACAUAUCUGUCUUUUAUAUACAUUUUACAUAAAUUUAAAUUUAAAUAUAUAUAUGAUACUAAACAGUAAAAACAUAUUGUAUGUGUGUGUGUAUAUAUAUAUAUGAGUGUGUGUAUAUGUGUUGACGUUCUCUCUUUCCAGGUUUUCUUAGAGGAGAAUAACAUUAUUCAAUCUUUGGAUCUAAUACGUGAAUUUCGUUUACUAAUCUAUACAUUUAUUCGUUCUUUUACCCAUUCUUCUAUGCACUAGGUGGCAAGGAGUUUAAAUAAGAAAUGCUUUUAAAAAAAAUAAAAAUUCAUUUUAAAAAAAAUAAAAUAAAUUUUUUUGAAAAACAAUAAGGAGGAAGAAAAACAUAAGAAG